GCUUUAGCAAAAGGGCAUUGGAGGAACAGGUGCUUAGUAGUCUCCAACUCUUCGCAGUGGAUACAACCUGGAUCUCCCUCUAGGCCUCUGUUCAGUAAGUUUUCGCCCACAGCUAAAGCAUUCUGGAUAAUUUUCCAAAUGAAAACUUUAAUUUUAGGGGAGAACUUCCCAUUCCAUAUCUCAGCAUUCCAAUUUAGGUCUUGGUUCAAUGGUAUGAUGGGAUCUUCUUCUGCAGAUGCGAUGUGGUAGCCCGUUUUUGACGUGUAGAUGCGAGACUUGUUCGAUAGCCAUACAUAUUUGUCAUGGGCUCUUUUUUAGCUGGGGCGAAGGCACAAGAUUUCCUCCACAUGAUGAGGUAGUAUCUGGUCGAUUCGGUGUUUGUUCCAAGCUUUUCCAUAAGCCGUGAGUAAGACUGACACAAGUAAAUCUUUGGUGUCAAGAUUGGCAGGUCCGACUGGUGUCUUGGGGUGAGAGAGGGAAAGCCAAGGGUCAUCCCAGAGAGAGAUAUUGCGCCCAUUCCCAAUCACUUUUCCCAAUUGUUUGUUGAGUAUAUCUCUUCCUAUCAAAAUCCCUUUCCAGCCAUGAGAGCCAUUUGAUACUGUGUGGACAUUAAGGAAGUGGCUGGUGUUGCA
This 632-nucleotide long non-coding RNA is filed under the name Eutrema salsugineum. RNAcentral describes it as "long non-coding RNA (ESAL_LNC000492)". The record is from RNAcentral. Lineage: Eukaryota; Viridiplantae; Streptophyta; Magnoliopsida; Brassicales; Brassicaceae.